ACAGGUAUAGCUCAGUGGUAGAGUGCAUGCACGAGGACCUGGGUUCAAUUCCCAGUACCUCCA
This is a transfer RNA of Camelus ferus (Wild Bactrian camel), 63 nucleotides long. It matches the Rfam family "tRNA". From Rfam's summary of the family: Transfer RNA (tRNA) molecules are approximately 80 nucleotides in length. The record is from Rfam. NCBI's taxonomy places the organism in Eukaryota, Metazoa, Chordata, Mammalia, Artiodactyla, Camelidae.